Molecule: ribosomal RNA, 528 nt
Filed under: uncultured bacterium
Lineage: Bacteria
Description: bacterial SSU rRNA
Rfam family: Bacterial small subunit ribosomal RNA
Source: RNAcentral
AGAGUUUGAUCCUGGCUCAGGAUGAACGCUAGCUACAGGCUUAACACAUGCAAGUCGAGGGGCAUCAGGAAGAAAGCUUGCUUUCUUUGCUGGCGACCGGCGCACGGGUGAGUAACACGUAUCCAACCUGCCCUUUACUCGGGGAUAGCCUUUCGAAAGAAAGAUUAAUACCCGAUAGUAUAAUGAUUCCGCAUGGUUUGAUUAUUAAAGGAUUCCGGUAAAGGAUGGGGAUGCGUUCCAUUAGGUUGUUGGUGAGGUAACGGCUCACCAAGCCUUCGAUGGAUAGGGGUUCUGAGAGGAAGGUCCCCCACAUUGGAACUGAGACACGGUCCAAACUCCUACGGGAGGCAGCAGUGAGGAAUAUUGGUCAAUGGGCGUUAGCCUGAACCAGCCAAGUAGCGUGAAGGAUGAAGGCUCUAUGGGUCGUAAACUUCUUUUAUAUAAGAAUAAAGUGCAGUAUGUAUACUGUUUUGUAUGUAUUAUAUGAAUAAGGAUCGGCUAACUCCGUGCCAGCCGCCGCGGUAAUAC